RNAcentral lists this unclassified non-coding RNA (195 nucleotides) under uncultured fungus. RNAcentral describes it as "partial contains 18S rRNA and ITS1". The stretch from base 1 to 46 matches the Rfam family "Eukaryotic small subunit ribosomal RNA", at positions 1786 to 1831 of the family's 1831-position model. The record is from RNAcentral. Lineage: Eukaryota; Fungi.
AAGUCGUAACAAGGUUUCCGUAGGUGAACCUGCGGAAGGAUCAUUACUGAGCUGUCGACACGAGCUGUUGCUGGCCUUCAAACAUGGGGGCAUGUGCACGCUCUGUCCACACAUCCACUCACACCUGUGCACCCUCUGUAGCUCUAUGGUAUGGGAGACACCUGUCUCCCUCCUGUAGUUCUACGUCUUUACACA